This 82-nucleotide transfer RNA is filed under the name Candidatus Karelsulcia muelleri. RNAcentral's name for it is "Candidatus Sulcia muelleri tRNA-Ser". It matches the Rfam family "tRNA". From Rfam's summary of the family: Transfer RNA (tRNA) molecules are approximately 80 nucleotides in length. Their secondary structure includes four short double-helical elements and three loops (D, anti-codon, and T loops). Lineage: Bacteria; Pseudomonadati; Bacteroidota; Flavobacteriia; Flavobacteriales. The record is from RNAcentral.
GGAGAGAUGGCUGAGAGGUCUAAGGCGCAUGCUUGGAAAGCAUGUAUAUCUUGUAUCAAGGGUUCGAAUCCCUUUCUCUCCG